RNAcentral lists this ribosomal RNA (483 nucleotides) under uncultured bacterium. RNAcentral's name for it is "partial 16S ribosomal RNA". It matches the Rfam family "Bacterial small subunit ribosomal RNA", at positions 30 to 506 of the family's 1533-position model. The record is from RNAcentral.
AUUGAACGCUGGCGGCAGGCCUAACACAUGCAAGUCUAGCGGAUGAAGGGAGCUUGCUCCUGGAUUCACCGGCGGACGGGUGAGUAAUGCCUAGGAAUCUGCCUGGUAGUGGGGGAUAACGUCCGGAAACGGGCGCUAAUACCGCAUACGUCCUGAGGGAGAAAGUGGGGGAUCUUCGGACCUCACGCUAUCAGAUGAGCCUAGGUCGGAUUAGCUAGUUGGUGGGGUAAAGGCCUACCAAGGCGACGAUCCGUAACUGGUCUGAGAGGAUGAUCAGUCACACUGGAAUUGAGAAACGGGCCAGACCCCUAGGGGGGGAAGGAGGGGGGAAUUUUGGAAAAGGGGGGAAAGCCUGAUCCAGCCAUGCCGGGGGGGUGAAGAAGGUCUUCGGAUUGUAAAGCACUUUAAGUUGGGAGGAAGGGCAGUAAGUUAAUACCUUGCUGUUUUGACGUUACCAACAGAAUAAGCACCGGCUAACUUCGG